CUACUGGGGUAUCUAAUCCUGUUUGCUCCCCACGCUUUCGUACCUCAGUGUCAGUAUGAGUCCAGGGUGUCGCCUUCGCCACUGAUGUUCCUCCAGAUAUCUACGCAUUUCACCGCUACACCUGGAAUUCCACACCCCUCUACCCUACUCUAGCUUGCCAGUUCCAACUGCAGUGCCCAGGUUGAGCCCGGGGAUUUCACAGCUGGCUUAACAAACCACCUACGUACGCUUUACGCCCAGUAAUUCCGAUUAACGCUUGCACCCUCCGUAUUACCGCGGCUGCUGGCAC
RNAcentral lists this ribosomal RNA (289 nucleotides) under uncultured Cellvibrio sp. Its description in RNAcentral is "partial 16S ribosomal RNA". Lineage: Bacteria; Pseudomonadati; Pseudomonadota; Gammaproteobacteria; Cellvibrionales; Cellvibrionaceae. The record is from RNAcentral.